This 247-nucleotide ribosomal RNA is filed under the name uncultured bacterium. Its description in RNAcentral is "partial 16S ribosomal RNA". It matches the Rfam family "Bacterial small subunit ribosomal RNA", at positions 86 to 334 of the family's 1533-position model. The record is from RNAcentral.
AGAUGGCGACCGGCGCACGGGUGAGUAACACGUAUCCAACCUGCCGAUAACUCGGGGAUAGCCUUUCGAAAGAAAGAUUAAUACCCGAUGGCAUAAUAGAACCGCAUGGUUUGAUUAUUAAAGAAUUUCGGUUAUCGAUGGGGAUGCGCUCCAUUAGGCAGUUGGUGGGGUAACGGCCCACCAAACCUUCGAUGGAUAGGGGUUCUGAGAGGAAGGUCCCCCACAUUGGAACUGAGACACGGUCCAA